GUCUACAGCCAUGCUACCCUGAACAAGCCCGAUCCUGUCUCAUCUCGGAAGCUAAGCAGGAUUGGGCCUGGUUAGUACUUGGAUGGGAAACCGCCUAGGAAGACCAGAUGCUGUAGGUG
RNAcentral lists this ribosomal RNA (119 nucleotides) under Pteropus alecto (black flying fox). The record is from RNAcentral. Lineage: Eukaryota; Metazoa; Chordata; Mammalia; Chiroptera; Pteropodidae.